RNAcentral lists this unclassified non-coding RNA (211 nucleotides) under Hevea brasiliensis (rubber tree). The record is from RNAcentral. Lineage: Eukaryota; Viridiplantae; Streptophyta; Magnoliopsida; Malpighiales; Euphorbiaceae.
ACAUAACAAAAUAAUUCAAUUACAUAUAUAUAUAUAUAUUCUCUUUCGUAUUUCCCACUAUAAUUCAUCGCAAAUUAUUAAAUAUAAUCCCUAUACUAUACAAAUAAAACCUUAUUACUUAUUCAUCUUAUACGUAAUAAUUUAUAUCUACUAAUCCCAAACUCCCAAACCUUCCCCCACCCCGCCCCACCCCCCAACAACCGCAAAUCUA